GGUUCUGUAGCAAAGCGGUAAUGCACUCCUUUCAUACGGGAGCGAUUCGUUGGUUCAAAUCCAACCGGAACCACCA
This 76-nucleotide transfer RNA is filed under the name Candidatus Thiodiazotropha sp. RNAcentral's name for it is "tRNA-Met". It matches the Rfam family "tRNA". Rfam says of the family: Transfer RNA (tRNA) molecules are approximately 80 nucleotides in length. Their secondary structure includes four short double-helical elements and three loops (D, anti-codon, and T loops). The record is from RNAcentral. Lineage: Bacteria; Pseudomonadati; Pseudomonadota; Gammaproteobacteria; Chromatiales; Sedimenticolaceae.